Rhipicephalus sanguineus (brown dog tick) is the source of this 386-nucleotide long non-coding RNA. RefSeq lists it as uncharacterized. The record is from RefSeq and is a predicted model, not a curated record. The transcript is spliced from 3 exons. Lineage: Eukaryota; Metazoa; Arthropoda; Arachnida; Ixodida; Ixodidae.
UUGGCGCCAGCAACCGGUUGGACAGCGCGGUGCUCCUGCUCAAGGCGGAGAACUCGAGCCCGGUGUUCUUCUGCGCCGCCUUCGUGCCCGCCAUCAAGGACAUUCCCAAGAAGGAAGAAGACGCGGAAUACCGUCCGUUCCUGAACACGCUCAACGACACAGACUGCGACUACGAACGCCGCGGCUUCGAGGGCAAAGUGGUGCUGCUGGAGCGCUGCGACAACACCUCCAACGACGAGCUCAUCCAGCAGGCGAAGAGCGCCAAGGCCCAUGGCGUCCUCAUUUCCGUCAACGCAAGUCGCGUGGUUGAAGAAUCGAAGACCAGCAUCAAGAAGCUCGACAUAGCCGUCGGUUUUGUCAUCAAUGACACCGCGCACAAGAUCGCG